AGAGUUUGAUCCUGGCUCAGAGCGAACGCUGGCGGCAGGCCUAACACAUGCAAGUCGAACGCCCCUUUCGGGGGGAGUGGCAGACGGGUGAGUAACGCGUGGGAACGUGCCCUUCAGUUCGGAAUAACCCAGGGAAACUUGGGCUAAUACCGGAUACGCCCUUUGGGGAAAGAUUGAUCGCUGAAGGAUCGGCCCGCGUCUGAUUAGCUAGUUGGUGGGGUGAUGGCUCACCAAGGCGACGAUCAGUAGCUGGUCUGAGAGGAUGAUCAGCCACACUGGGACUGAGACACGGCCCAGACUCCUACGGGAGGCAGCAGUGGGGAAUAUUGGACAAUGGGCGCAAGCCUGAUCCAGCCAUGCCGCGUGAGUGAUGAAGGCCCUAGGGUUGUAAAGCUCUUUCGCACGCGACGAUAGUGACGGUAGCGUGAGAAGAAGCCCCGGCUAACUUCGUGCCAGCAGCCGCGGUAAUACGAAGGGGGCUAGCGUUGCUCGGAAUCACUGGGCGUAAAGGGCGCGUAGGCGGCCGAUCAAGUCGGGGGUGAAAGCCUGUGGCUCAACCACAGAAUGGCCUUCGAUACUGGUUGGCUCGAGACCGGAAGAGGUGAGUGGAACUGCGAGUGUAGAGGUGAAAUUCGUAGAUAUUCGCAAGAACACCAGUGGCGAAGGCGGCUCACUGGUCCGGUUCUGACGCUGAGGCGCGAAAGCGUGGGGAGCAAACAGGAUUAGAUACCCUAGUAGUCC
This 741-nucleotide ribosomal RNA is filed under the name uncultured bacterium. RNAcentral describes it as "bacterial SSU rRNA". It matches the Rfam family "Bacterial small subunit ribosomal RNA", at positions 8 to 796 of the family's 1533-position model. The record is from RNAcentral.